UACAGAGGGUGCAAGCGUUGUUCGGAAUCAUUGGGCGUAAAGGGCGUGUAGGCGGUUUGUUAAGUCAUGUGUGAAAUCCCUCGGCUCAACCGGGGAACGACGCAUGAAACUGGCAAGCUAGAGUACCAAAGAGGGGGGUGGAAUUCCCGGUGUAGCGGUGAAAUGCGUAGAGAUGUGGAGGAACACCGAUGGCGAAGGCAGCCCCCUGGGUUAACACUGACGCUCAGGCACGAAAGCGUGGGGAGCAAACAGG
RNAcentral lists this ribosomal RNA (253 nucleotides) under uncultured bacterium. Its description in RNAcentral is "partial 16S ribosomal RNA". It matches the Rfam family "Bacterial small subunit ribosomal RNA", at positions 524 to 776 of the family's 1533-position model. The record is from RNAcentral.